UACGUAGGGGGCAAGCGUUGUCCGGAAUCAUUGGGCGUAAAGGGCGUGUAGGCGGCCAGAUAAGUCCGCUGUGAAAUCUCGAGGCUCAACUUCGAGCUGUCGGUGGAAACUGUCUGGCUAGAGUCCGGAAGAGGAGAAUGGAAUUCCUGGUGUAGCGGUGAAAUGCGCAGAUAUCAGGAAGAACACCCGUGGCGAAGGCGGUUCUCUGGGACGGUACUGACGCUGAGACGCGAAAGCGUGGGGAGCGAACAGG
Molecule: ribosomal RNA, 253 nt
Filed under: uncultured bacterium
Lineage: Bacteria
Description: partial 16S ribosomal RNA
Rfam family: Bacterial small subunit ribosomal RNA
Source: RNAcentral